Molecule: long non-coding RNA, 940 nt
Organism: Grammomys surdaster
Lineage: Eukaryota; Metazoa; Chordata; Mammalia; Rodentia; Muridae
Exons: 3
Source: RefSeq, a predicted model, not a curated record
GUGUAAGCAGCCAGUAAAUGUGCAAAUCUCUAGUUGGGCUUUAGCUGCUCUGAGGAGUUUCCCAGUGGAGCUAGGAUGGGAAUUCCACUCAUGCACCUAGCCCCUUUCCCAGGAGACAUCACUCUGGUCGGAAAACCGGGCAAACGAAGCAGGCAACCAUCGGAGAACUCUGAAUUAACCGCGGCUCCCAGAAGCUCCUGCCUCUCUGACAGCUGUCGCUUCGGCAGCCCAAGAGACGAAUUGUCCUCCUUCCUGGUGCCAGAGGACGCAGGAAAUUAGCCAGGUUGCAAGUUGCAAAGCAGCGGCUGCUGCCCCAGGAACUGGACGCGCCCCACCUCCAGCGACAGCGGCCGGCCUGGGCCUGGCAGCGGCUUCCUCUCGCUCGCCAUCGCCGGACAAAGCGCAGCCCAGGCAGGCUGAGAAGGCAGAGCUCCGAAGCACGCAGGAUGGAGCGGAGCAAAAGAAUGCGGCUCUAUUCUCGCAAGGGAAAUUAUAAAAAAGUUCAUGUUCACGGUUCCUAUCCACAUGACCGACAGCGGCCAAUGGAAGGGCCGAACAACUCAUAAAGUUGUAUUGCAAAGUUGUAAAUUUUCAUAAACAACAACGGAUUUAUGACCCUUUCCCCAUCACUAAGAGGAGGCAGCUCUUACACAGGCGCCAUCUUACCACCGAGGCUGUCCCGAUUUGGGGCUGCAGGUUUUACAGACCCUUUUAGGUCCGAUUUUAUUAAAAAGAGUCCUAAGAAGCUGGCCCAACCCAGUCAGGGGAUAAGAAUGGAGACUUUCGCAGGCCAGUCUCAGGAUGCUCUAAGCUACUUCCACCGCCUCUCGCCCCUGGUCUCUCUCGCCGCUAGCCCCUUCCCCAGCCACAGUCCUUCCUCAGCAACAGGACUUGACUAGGUUGCGCUGCCCGGUCUGAGGCCCAUGGCGGUCCAAGAAUC